CCGUCAAAGGAUCCAACGGAAAGGUAUGUUAAGAUAAGAUUGUGUGUUUGUAUGCCUUUUUGUCCAAGUUUCUUCUAGGUGUCGUCAAAGGAUCCAAAGGAAAGGUAUGUUAAGAUAAGAUUGUGUGUUUGUAUGUAUUUUUGUCCAAAUUUCCUCUAGGUUUCGUCAAAGGAUCCAAGGGAAAGGUAUGUUAAGAUAAGAUUGUGUGUUUGUAUGCCUUUUUGUCCAAGUUUCCUCUAGGUGCCGUCAAAGGAUCAAUGGAAAGG
RNAcentral lists this long non-coding RNA (266 nucleotides) under Mytilus galloprovincialis (Mediterranean mussel). The record is from RNAcentral. Lineage: Eukaryota; Metazoa; Mollusca; Bivalvia; Mytilida; Mytilidae.